This 1033-nucleotide long non-coding RNA is filed under the name Cyanistes caeruleus (blue tit). Its description in RNAcentral is "lncRNA (ENSCCEG00000017532.1)". The record is from RNAcentral. Lineage: Eukaryota; Metazoa; Chordata; Aves; Passeriformes; Paridae.
CCUGUUCUUGCUCUGCAGCAUUGUGAUAACAGCUGUUUACUGUCAGCUACCACAGAGCUGACUUGCAAUUCAGAAGGACUGGUGUAGUCCAGCUGCUUUUCAGUUGAUAAAAAUUACAGUCCUCCACCUAAACCAUACCAUUUCAAACCAAUGGAAUUCUAAUCUAAGAGCUGCUACUUUGAAAACACUUCAAAUUCUUCAAGAUAAAAUGCUGUCAUUAGCUGUUAGCUGCAAACACCGUGAAAUUCACGCUGAAACUUCCAGGGAGUGUCUUCAGCAAAGGGUGGCCAGGACGAACAGGCCUAUAAGAAGGGAAGUAGCAGCUGAAGCUAAUUUCCUUAGAAAACGAAGGAAGGAAGAUAUCAGAUAGAACUUGGGCAAUAAACCUGACUUCAAGAUGUCAGAGGAAGAUGAUUCAUAUCUGAAUGUAAAAAGAUCUCUGAAAAGGAGAAUGGUGAAACACAGCACCCCAGUGGACUCAAUGCUUUCAAGAGCAACUCCAUCUCUUAUAGAUCUGACAAAUCAGUCAAUCAAGGACCAAGAUGCCACAAAGCGAGUUUAUGGAUCUCCAAUGCCAAAAUCAGAUCUAAGCAGAUCAUUAUCUCAAGUGUCAUCAGUGCGUGUUGAUGCGUACAUCCCUCACGUGUCCCCAAAAAGACUUUCAACAGCAUUUGAUUUGCAAGAAUUAAAUAAAGAGAAAACUCAAAGCUCUCAGCUUGUAUUUUCUAGAAGGAGGCUUUCUACUGUGUUGGCCUCUGAUGAAUCAAGUCAAGAGCCAGCUCAUAAGGUUGUCCCAGAUACAGAAACUCAAGCUACCACCAGAGCAUCUGUGGAUGCUGCAGCAACUCCCAAGAGUGGACCUUCAUGGCUUGUUUCUGGCAUACCAGGGAUAAAAGAUCCUCUGCCAGCAAAAUCCAGAAAGAAGAAAAUUGAUAAAACUCUUCAGAGAAAGAAAGAAAGAGAAUGGCUGCUUCGUCAACUUAAAAAUAUUGAGGAGGCAACUAAACAUGAACUGACAAUUGAAGAAAUUUGA